UUGUUUGUGCUCCACAAUGAUAAGGUCCC
RNAcentral lists this non-coding RNA (29 nucleotides) under Mus musculus (house mouse). The record is from RNAcentral. Lineage: Eukaryota; Metazoa; Chordata; Mammalia; Rodentia; Muridae.